AACGAACGCUGGCGGCAGGCCUAACACAUGCGAGUCGAACGGCAGCACAGUGUGAGCUUGCGCACACGGGUGGCAAGUGGCGGAAGGGUGAGGAAUGCAUCGGAUACCACUUCUUCGGGGGGGCUAAUGCCGGGAAACUUACGCUAAUACAGCAUACGUCCUCCGGGUGAAAGCAGGGGAUCUUCGGGCCUUGUGCGAUUGAAUGAGCCGAUGUUGGAUUAGCUAGGUUGCGGGGUAGAGGCGCACAAAGGCGACGAUCCGUAGCUGGUCCGAGGGGGUGGUUCGCCAGAUUGUAACUGAGACACGGCCCACACUCCUACGGUAGGCAGCAGUGGGGAAUCUUGGACAAUGGAGGAAAGCCUGAUCCAGCAAUACCGCGUGGGUGAAGAAGGCGUUCGGCUGGUAAAGCCCUGUUGGUGGGAAAGAAAUGCAGCAGGUUAAUACCCCGCUGUACUGACGGUACCCGAAGAAUAAGCUCCGGCUAACUUCGUG
Molecule: ribosomal RNA, 492 nt
Filed under: uncultured bacterium
Lineage: Bacteria
Description: partial 16S ribosomal RNA
Rfam family: Bacterial small subunit ribosomal RNA
Source: RNAcentral